Molecule: ribosomal RNA, 247 nt
Filed under: uncultured Parcubacteria group bacterium
Lineage: Bacteria
Description: partial 16S ribosomal RNA
Rfam family: Bacterial small subunit ribosomal RNA
Source: RNAcentral
UGUGGGACGAAAUUAUUGACGGUACCACAUGAAUAAGGGGCUCCUAACUCUGUGCCAGCAGGAGCGGUAAUACAGAGGCCCCAAGCAUUAUCCGGAAUCACUGGGCGUAAAGGGUGUCAAGGCGGUCAUGUUAGUCGUUCGUAAAAUCCGUGGGCUCAACCUACGGCUCGCGAGCGAAACGGCAUGACUAGAGGUUGGGAGAGGUGCGUGGAACUCACGGUGUAGGGGUGAAAUCCGUUGAUAUCGU